This 465-nucleotide ribosomal RNA is filed under the name Vreelandella stevensii. Its description in RNAcentral is "partial 16S ribosomal RNA". It matches the Rfam family "Bacterial small subunit ribosomal RNA", at positions 338 to 795 of the family's 1533-position model. Lineage: Bacteria; Pseudomonadati; Pseudomonadota; Gammaproteobacteria; Oceanospirillales; Halomonadaceae. The record is from RNAcentral.
CCUACGGGUGGCUGCAGUGGGGAAUAUUGGACAAUGGGCGAAAGCCUGAUCCAGCCAUGCCGCGUGUGUGAAGAAGGCCUUCGGGUUGUAAAGCACUUUCAGUGGGGAAGAAAGCCUUGGGGCUAAUACCCUCGAGGAAGGACAUCACCCACAGAAGAAGCACCGGCUAACUCCGUGCCAGCAGCCGCGGUAAUACGGAGGGUGCGAGCGUUAAUCGGAAUUACUGGGCGUAAAGCGCGCGUAGGCGGUCUGAUAAGCCGGUUGUGAAAGCCCCGGGAUCAACCUGGGAACGGCAUCCGGAACUGUCAGGCUAGAGUGCAGGAGAGGAAGGUAGAAUUCCCGGUGUAGCGGUGAAAUGCGUAGAGAUCGGGAGGAAUACCAGUGGCGAAGGCGGCCUUCUGGACUGACACUGACGCUGAGGUGCGAAAGCGUGGGUAGCAAACAGGAUUAGAUACCCCGGUAGUC